This 72-nucleotide transfer RNA is filed under the name Listeria grayi. Its description in RNAcentral is "tRNA-Arg". It matches the Rfam family "tRNA". From Rfam's summary of the family: Transfer RNA (tRNA) molecules are approximately 80 nucleotides in length. Their secondary structure includes four short double-helical elements and three loops (D, anti-codon, and T loops). RNAcentral also lists the same sequence under 1 other name. Lineage: Bacteria; Bacillati; Bacillota; Bacilli; Caryophanales; Listeriaceae. The record is from RNAcentral.
ACCCCCUUAGUUAAGUGGAUAUAACAAAUCCCUCCUAAGGAUUAGUCGCUGGUUCGACUCCGGCAGGGGGUG